AAACUUCUUCCCUGGAGAUCUUGUUAAAGUGCAGAUUCUAAUUCUAAUAGGUCUGGAUUUGAGCCUGAGAACUUGAGUCUCUGACAAGCUCCCUGGUAAAACCAAA
RNAcentral lists this microRNA precursor (106 nucleotides) under Marmota monax (woodchuck). The record is from RNAcentral. Lineage: Eukaryota; Metazoa; Chordata; Mammalia; Rodentia; Sciuridae.